AUUGAACGCUGGCGGCAGGCCUAACACAUGCAAGUCGAGCGGAUGAAGGGAGCUUGCUCCUGGAUUCAGCGGCGGACGGGUGAGUAAUGCCUAGGAAUCUGCCUGGUAGUGGGGGAUAACGUGCGGAAACGGGGGCUAAUACCGCAUACGUCCUGAGGGAGAAAGGGGGGGAUCUUCGGACCUCACGCUAUCAGAGGAGCCUAGGUCGGAUUAGCUAGUUGGUGGGGUAAAGGCCUACCAAGGCGACGAUCCGUAACUGGUCUGAGAGGAUGAUCAGUCACACUGGAACUGAGACACGGUCCAGACUCCUACGGGAGGCAGCAGUGGGGAAUAUUGGACAAUGGGCGCAAGCCUGAUCCAGCCAUGCCGCGUGUGUGAAGAAGGUCUUCGGAUUGUAAAGCGCUUUUAUUUGGGAAGAAGGGCUGUAAGUUAAUACCCUGCUGUUUUGACGUUACCAACAGAAUAAGCACCGGCUAACUUCGUG
Molecule: ribosomal RNA, 484 nt
Filed under: uncultured bacterium
Lineage: Bacteria
Description: partial 16S ribosomal RNA
Rfam family: Bacterial small subunit ribosomal RNA
Source: RNAcentral